GUCCCCCCCCUUAUUCUGAUUUAGGGUCCCCACCCAUCGCUCAGGGGUGGGGGCCAGGGGGGAGGACAUUAGGUCCCCCCCCAUUAUUUUACAUCAGGGCCCCCACCUGCUGCUCGGUGGAUGGGGGCCCUGAUGUAAAAUAAUGGGGGGGACAUA
Pelobates cultripes (western spadefoot toad) is the source of this 156-nucleotide non-coding RNA. The record is from the annotation of a GenBank genome assembly. NCBI's taxonomy places the organism in Eukaryota, Metazoa, Chordata, Amphibia, Anura, Pelobatidae.